This 416-nucleotide long non-coding RNA is filed under the name Fukomys damarensis (Damara mole-rat). RNAcentral describes it as "lncRNA (ENSFDAG00000032364.1)". Lineage: Eukaryota; Metazoa; Chordata; Mammalia; Rodentia; Bathyergidae. The record is from RNAcentral.
GCAGUGCAGGCCUGGCCAGAGCAGGGUGGAAGGGGAUCUACCCUCCCAAGAGGUGCUAAAGCUGAGCAUCAGAAUUAGCAGUGUGGCCCUGAGUAAGUGACCCAGUUAACCUGUAAGAUUCUGUACAUAGGUAUGGAUCUGGCUACUUCUUCACAGAAUUAUGGUGACAUGGAAGAGAGCAAGGACGGAAAGUUUCCAGCAUUGGGUCACCGGGAAGGACAUGCAAAGACAGGCAUCAGAGGGUCAACUCUGGGGAGACCCUCUUGAGUCCUCUCUGCAGCCAGAACCACCCCUCCCAAGUUGCUCACCCAUGCUGUCCAUGUUUUCUAGAACAUGGCCUGGCUCCAGGGAGGGUCCUCCGUGCCUGGUGAGUCACUGAACAGGAGAUGGAGCUUGGAUCUCAUCUCUCGGGGACC